AGGAAGAAUUUCUACAUUGAGACUACUAAGUGUGAAUUAUGUGAUGAUGAACCUAAUGAACACCUAAUGCAUCUCUUUUUUAGCUGUGAUUUCAGCCAAACCUUCUGGAUGAACAUUGGUUACCAAUGGGACACUGAUCAUAACCUUAUAGAAAUGCUCUUGGAGGGAAGGAAGCAAGAUAUCCAUGGCUGCUUUAAAGAAUGCUUGAUUGCUGGAUGCUAGAGUCUCUGGAAACACAGAAAUAGCAUUAUUUUUUAUCACAAGGUCAAGCAUAUGACAUAUUGCAUUGCCACUUUCAAGGAGCACUUUAGCAUGAUUAUAAAGAAGGAAAAACCUGGAUUGAAGGAGGGCAUGCAAAGUUGGCUAGAUCAUUUGUAG
This 378-nucleotide ribosomal RNA is filed under the name Triticum aestivum (bread wheat). RNAcentral describes it as "partial small subunit ribosomal RNA". The record is from RNAcentral. Lineage: Eukaryota; Viridiplantae; Streptophyta; Magnoliopsida; Poales; Poaceae.